GCGUAUGCAACCUGCCUCCCCCUGGGGGAUCCCCCAACGAAAGGUGGAUUAAUACCGCAUGAUAUAAGGACACGGCAUCGUGACUUUAUUAAAGCUUUUAUUAGCGGGCGGAGAUGGGCAUGCGUGCCAUUAGCUAGUUGGGGGGGUAGAGGCCCACCAAGGCGACGAUGGCUAGGGGCUCUGAGAGGAUGGUCCCCCACACUGGUACUGAGACACGGACCAGACUCCUACGGGAGGCAGCAGUAGGGAAUAUUGGGCAAUGGCCGAGAGGCUGACUCAGCCAUGCCGCGUGCAGGAAGAAGGCCUUCUGGGUUGUAAACUGCUUUUAUCAGGGAAGAAAACGCUCCUGCGGGAGUAACUGACGGUACCUGAUGAAUAACCACCGGCUAACUCCGUGCCAGCAGCCGCGGUAAUACGGAGGGUGCAAGCGUUGUCCGGAUUUAUUGGGUUUAAAGGGUGCGUAGGCGGCCGAUUAAGUCAGCGGUGAAAUCCCGGGGCUCAACCCCGGAACUGCCGUUGAUACUGGUUGGGUUGAGUUCGGUCGAGGCGGGCGGAACUGGCGGUGUAUCGGUGAAAUGCA
RNAcentral lists this ribosomal RNA (580 nucleotides) under uncultured bacterium. Its description in RNAcentral is "bacterial SSU rRNA". It matches the Rfam family "Bacterial small subunit ribosomal RNA", at positions 115 to 690 of the family's 1533-position model. The record is from RNAcentral.